Molecule: ribosomal RNA, 692 nt
Filed under: Lactiplantibacillus plantarum
Lineage: Bacteria; Bacillati; Bacillota; Bacilli; Lactobacillales; Lactobacillaceae
Description: bacterial SSU rRNA
Rfam family: Bacterial small subunit ribosomal RNA
Source: RNAcentral
UGCAAGUCGAACGAACUCUGGUAUUGAUUGGUGCUUGCAUCAUGAUUUACAUUUGAGUGAGUGGCGAACUGGUGAGUAACACGUGGGAAACCUGCCCAGAAGCGGGGGAUAACACCUGGAAACAGAUGCUAAUACCGCAUAACAACUUGGACCGCAUGGUCCGAGUUUGAAAGAUGGCUUCGGCUAUCACUUUUGGAUGGUCCCGCGGCGUAUUAGCUAGAUGGUGGGGUAACGGCUCACCAUGGCAAUGAUACGUAGCCGACCUGAGAGGGUAAUCGGCCACAUUGGGACUGAGACACGGCCCAAACUCCUACGGGAGGCAGCAGUAGGGAAUCUUCCACAAUGGACGAAAGUCUGAUGGAGCAACGCCGCGUGAGUGAAGAAGGGUUUCGGCUCGUAAAACUCUGUUGUUAAAGAAGAACAUAUCUGAGAGUAACUGUUCAGGUAUUGACGGUAUUUAACCAGAAAGCCACGGCUAACUACGUGCCAGCAGCCGCGGUAAUACGUAGGUGGCAAGCGUUGUCCGGAUUUAUUGGGCGUAAAGCGAGCGCAGGCGGUUUUUUAAGUCUGAUGUGAAAGCCUUCGGCUCAACCGAAGAAGUGCAUCGGAAACUGGGAAACUUGAGUGCAGAAGAGGACAGUGGAACUCCAUGUGUAGCGGUGAAAUGCGUAGAUAUAUGGAAGAACACCAGU